GGCCUUACGGGUCUGGGGCGCUUUCCCGAGUCCUUUGUAAGGGAGGAGGCCACGUGGAGCCUCUUUUCCCACCGUUUUUCGGCACUUCUUCUCUUCUUUCAGCUCACUCCCCUUGGCGGGUGUUUCUACCCGAAUAGCAGACCCACCCACAUGAGCGCUGUCUUCACUCCGGACCAUGGCAUCUGCCGUGGAAUAUUUUAUAUUCUCUGAAGACGGAAAGGGAAGCAGCGGCCCCACGUCCCCUCGCUGUUUUCUGUGCUUCAAUCCGCGUCUGUCUCCGCGUCUCGCUCGUGGGUGAGGUGAGAAAACUUGAAACAACUGUGGAGGCUGUUCUCCUAGGCUCUUGCAGGUAUGUGUCAAAUACCUUAGAGAUGCUUAAUUUCUGCUAAGAAUUCUGAGUGUUUCUACUCCUUAUCUAGAUGUUUUUAUAAAAGAUACCUUAAAGUUGUUAAACUCAUUUAAAAAUUAGUUUCAGGUGGAUUAAGAGGCUCUUCUUAGAGACCAGUAAAUAGUUGGAUCUGGAACUUGAACUCCCAAAUUCCAAGAAGCUGGACCAUCAUCAACUGUUAGCAGAUACUGCAGGUUAGUGUGUGACUUCUUUUUUUGUUGUCCAUAUUAUAGUCUCUAUUUUUCUGAGUAAUACAUUCACUCGGAAAAGUUUUGUGAUGAUGAAUUGGAAACAUAUUCUCUUGGAAUAUCAUUUCUCCAUCUCACCAGUGGUUCCAUCCUUCACUGUUUAGUUCCGAUAGUUUUCUUUGAAGAUAUAUUUCAAUUUUAACUUUUCCCUUUGCAAUUCCAGGAAGAUGCGUUUCCCAUACAUAGGAUAUCCUAUUUAUUCUCACUAUCUCAAUUAUUCUGCAAUCAAUUUUAUCAUUUUUUUUCACAUUCCUGGUGAGUAAUUUCCUGAACACUUUCCUGUAUAUCUCCUAUGUGCUUUAUAUAAUGUUUAUUCUUUUUUGUUUGUUUUUUCUAAUGCAGCUUCUUUCUUUGAAUUUUAUUUUUUCUCUAUAUUGGAUUCUGUACACAAAUGGUCUAUUCAUUCUUUGAAGCUGUGAGGAUUUUUCUAUCUGAAUUCAGUCCAUUUUCUCAGACCAUACUUAAGUUAGUAUUCUUUACUUACUGAUUUGUAUGAUAAGGCAAAUACUAUUUUUAAAGGUAAUAUUUAUUUACAGAGUAGGGUCUAGAAACCAUGGAGAAGCUUAGAAUUUUGAUGUCUAGAACAUUGUUCUGCUAAGUAAUAAGACUGCACAGACCUUCAAGAUAAAUAAACAUUACAACAGAAUUUUUUAUUAAGCUGUCUACAGAUUUUUAUUCUUGUGUGUAAUUCUUAUCCUUGUUUUUAAUUCAUACCGUCUUAAAUUAUUCUUAAUGCAAUACAAACUCCAUAUUUAUAAACAGAGAUCUUUGCUAAUUCAUCUCUGAUUUAGAAUCUUUCCAAUGAUAAUUACCAUAAAAUAACCUUAUUUUUUCCUGUCCUACUUUUUCC
RNAcentral lists this long non-coding RNA (1486 nucleotides) under Fukomys damarensis (Damara mole-rat). RNAcentral describes it as "lncRNA (ENSFDAG00000023167.1)". Lineage: Eukaryota; Metazoa; Chordata; Mammalia; Rodentia; Bathyergidae. The record is from RNAcentral.